GACGAACGCUGGCGGCGUGCUUAACACAUGCAAGUCGAACGGUGAAGCGCCUUCCUUUUUGGUGGGUGUGGAUGAGUGGCGAACGGGUGAGUAACACGUGAGUAACCUGCCCCCUUCUUCUGGAUAACCGCAUGAAAGUGUGGCUAAUACGGGAUAUUCUGGGUCUGUCGCAUGAUGGGUCUGGGAAAGAUAUUGUUUCGGUGGGGGAUGGGCUCGCGGCCUAUCAGCUUGUUGGUGGGGUGAUGGCCUACCAAGGCGGUGACGGGUAGCCGGCCUGAGAGGGUGGACGGUCACACUGGGACGGAGCCACGGCCCAGACUCCUACGGGAGGCAGCAGUGGGGAAUAUUGCACAAUGGGAGCAAGCCUGAUGCAGCGACGCCGCGUGAGGGAUGGAGGCCUUCGGGUUGUGAACCUCUUUCGCCAGUGAAGCAGGCCUGCCUCGUUUGUGGGUGGGUUGACGGUAGCUGGAUAAGAAGCGCCGGCUAACUACGUG
Molecule: ribosomal RNA, 494 nt
Filed under: uncultured bacterium
Lineage: Bacteria
Description: partial 16S ribosomal RNA
Rfam family: Bacterial small subunit ribosomal RNA
Source: RNAcentral